Molecule: ribosomal RNA, 432 nt
Filed under: uncultured Mycobacterium sp.
Lineage: Bacteria; Bacillati; Actinomycetota; Actinomycetes; Mycobacteriales; Mycobacteriaceae
Description: bacterial SSU rRNA
Rfam family: Bacterial small subunit ribosomal RNA
Source: RNAcentral
UCCUACGGGAGGCAGCAGUGGGGAAUAUUGCACAAUGGGCGCAAGCCUGAUGCAGCGACGCCGCGUGAGGGAUGACGGCCUUCGGGUUGUAAACCUCUUUCAGUACCGACGAAGCGCAAGUGACGGUAGGUACAGAAGAAGCACCGGCCAACUACGUGCCAGCAGCCGCGGUAAUACGUAGGGUGCGAGCGUUGUCCGGAAUUACUGGGCGUAAAGAGCUCGUAGGUGGUUUGUCGCGUUGUUCGUGAAAACUCACAGCUUAACUGUGGGCGUGCGGGCGAUACGGGCAGACUGGAGUACUGCAGGGGAGACUGGAAUUCCUGGUGUAGCGGUGGAAUGCGCAGAUAUCAGGAGGAACACCGGUGGCGACGGCGGCUCUCUGGGAGUACUGACGCUGAGGACGAAAGCGUGGGGAGCGAACAGGAUUAGAUA